AAUUUUCGCAAUGGACGAAAGUCUGAUGGAGCAACGCCGCGUGAACGAUGAAGGCUUUCGGGUCGUAAAGUUCUGUUGUAAGGGAAGAACAAGUGCCGCAGGCAAUGGCGGCACCUUGACGGUACCUUGCGAGAAAGCCACGGCUAACUACGUGCCAGCAGCCGCGGUAAUACGUAGGUGGCAAGCGUUGUCCGGAAUUAUUGGGCGUAAAGCGCGCGCAGGCGGCCUCUUAAGUCUGAUGUGAAAGCCCCCCGGCUCAACCGGGGAGGGCCAUUGGAAACUGGGAGGCUUGAGUAUAGGAGAGAAGAGUGGAAUUCCACGUGUAGCGGUGAAAUGCGUAGAGAUGUGGAGGAACACCAGUGGCGAAGGCGACUCUUUGGCCUAUAACUGACGCUGAGGCGCGAAAGCGUGGGGAGCAAACAGGAUUAGAUACCCUGGUAG
Molecule: ribosomal RNA, 441 nt
Filed under: uncultured bacterium
Lineage: Bacteria
Description: bacterial SSU rRNA
Rfam family: Bacterial small subunit ribosomal RNA
Source: RNAcentral